This 72-nucleotide transfer RNA is filed under the name Crassvirales sp. RNAcentral describes it as "tRNA-Trp". It matches the Rfam family "tRNA". From Rfam's summary of the family: Transfer RNA (tRNA) molecules are approximately 80 nucleotides in length. Their secondary structure includes four short double-helical elements and three loops (D, anti-codon, and T loops). Further hydrogen bonds mediate the characteristic L-shaped molecular structure. tRNAs have two regions of fundamental functional importance: the anti-codon, which is responsible for specific mRNA codon recognition, and the 3' end, to which the tRNAs corresponding amino acid is attached (by aminoacyl-tRNA synthetases). tRNAs cope with the degeneracy of the genetic code in two manners: having more than one tRNA (with a specific anti-codon) for a particular amino acid; and 'wobble' base-pairing, i.e. permitting non-standard base-pairing at the 3rd anti-codon position. The record is from RNAcentral. Lineage: Duplodnaviria; Heunggongvirae; Uroviricota; Caudoviricetes; Crassvirales.
UGAUGGGUAGUUUAAUGGUAAAAUACUGGUCUCCAAAACCAGUUGAUAUGGGUUCAAAUCCUAUCCCAUCAG